Centruroides sculpturatus (bark scorpion) is the source of this 190-nucleotide long non-coding RNA. RefSeq lists it as uncharacterized. The record is from RefSeq and is a predicted model, not a curated record. The transcript has 3 exons. Lineage: Eukaryota; Metazoa; Arthropoda; Arachnida; Scorpiones; Buthidae.
UCUUUGGCAAAAAAUUCAAACUUUGAGUAUCAAUGAAUUUCUAAGGCAGAAGAAUUUAAUUCUCAUUUCUGUGGAACAAGUGAGAAGGUUGUGUAGAGAAGGACAAUGUCUUGGUAUAUCAAAUGCACGAUUCAUACCAAAAUCUGCUUCCUUGAGACCCAUUUUUAAUUUACAGAAGAAAUCUAAUAUG